This 250-nucleotide ribosomal RNA is filed under the name uncultured bacterium. Its description in RNAcentral is "partial 16S ribosomal RNA". It matches the Rfam family "Bacterial small subunit ribosomal RNA", at positions 524 to 772 of the family's 1533-position model. The record is from RNAcentral.
UACGGGGGGCGCAAGCGUUAUUCGGAUUUAUUGGGCGUAAAGGGCGUGUAGGCGGUUGAGUCAGUCUGGUGUGAAAACGCUAUUGCUUAACAAAGCGAUUGCAUUGGAUACUGCUCAACUUGAGGAUGCGAGAGGCAAGCGGAAUACCUGGUGUAGCGGUGGAAUGCGUAGAUAUCAGGUAGAACAUCGGUGGCGAAGGCGGCUUGCUGGCGCAUAUCUGACGCUGAGGCGCGAAAGCGUGGGGAGCGAA